GAUGAACGCUGGCGGCGUGCCUAAUACAUGCAAGUCGAGCGAACAGACAAGGAGCUUGCUCCUUUGACGUUAGCGGCGGACGGGUGAGUAACACGUGGGUAACCUACCUAUAAGACUGGGAUAACUUCGGGAAACCGGAGCUAAUACCGGAUAAUAUUUCGAACCGCAUGGUUCGAUAGUGAAAGAUGGUUUUGCUAUCACUUAUAGAUGGACCCGCGCCGUAUUAGCUAGUUGGUAAGGUAACGGCUUACCAAGGCGACGAUACGUAGCCGACCUGAGAGGGUGAUCGGCCACACUGGAACUGAGAUACGGUCCAGACUCCUACGGGAGGCAGCAGUAGGGAAUCUUCCGCAAUGGGCGAAAGCCUGACGGAGCAACGCCGCGUGAGUGAUGAAGGUCUUCGGAUCGUAAAACUCUGUUAUUAGGGAAGAACAUACGUGUAAGUAACUAUGCACGUCUUGACGGUACCUAAUCAGAAAACCACGGCUAACUACGUGCCAGCAGCCGCGGUAAUACGUAGGUGGCAAGCGUUAUCCGGAAUUAUUGGGCGUAAAGCGCGCGUAGGCGGUUUUCUAAGUCUGAUGUGAAAGCCCACGGCUCAACCGUGGAGGGUCAUUGGAAACUGUAAAACUUGAGUGCAGAAGAGGAAAGUGGAAUUCCAUGUGUAGCGGUGAAAUGCGCAGAGAUAUGGAGGAACACCAGUGGCGAAGGCGACUUUCUGGUCUGUAACUGACGCUGAUGUGCGAAAGCGUGGGGAUCAAACAGGAUUAGAUACCCUGGUAGUCCACGCCGUAAACGAUGAGUGCUAAGUGUUAGGGGGUUUCCGCCCCUUAGUGCUGCAGCUAACGCAUUAAGCACUCCGCCUGGGGAGUACGACCGCAAGGUUGAAACUCAAAGGAAUUGACGGGGACCCGCACAAGCGGUGGAGCAUGUGGUUUAAUUCGAAGCAACGCGAAGAACCUUACCAAAUCUUGACAUCCUUUGACAACUCUAGAGAUAGAGCCUUCCCCUUCGGGGGACAAAGUGACAGGUGGUGCAUGGUUGUCGUCAGCUCGUGUCGUGAGAUGUUGGGUUAAGUCCCGCAACGAGCGCAACCCUUAAGCUUAGUUGCCAUCAUUAAGUUGGGCACUCUAAGUUGACUGCCGGUGACAAACCGGAGGAAGGUGGGGAUGACGUCAAAUCAUCAUGCCCCUUAUGAUUUGGGCUACACACGUGCUACAAUGGACAAUACAAAGGGCAGCGAAACCGCGAGGUCAAGCAAAUCCCAUAAAGUUGUUCUCAGUUCGGAUUGUAGUCUGCAACUCGACUACAUGAAGCUGGAAUCGCUAGUAAUCGUAGAUCAGCAUGCUACGGUGAAUACGUUCCCGGGUCU
This 1372-nucleotide ribosomal RNA is filed under the name uncultured bacterium. RNAcentral describes it as "bacterial SSU rRNA". It matches the Rfam family "Bacterial small subunit ribosomal RNA", at positions 28 to 1381 of the family's 1533-position model. The record is from RNAcentral.